Ictidomys tridecemlineatus (thirteen-lined ground squirrel) is the source of this 5782-nucleotide non-coding RNA. NCBI's taxonomy places the organism in Eukaryota, Metazoa, Chordata, Mammalia, Rodentia, Sciuridae. The record is from RefSeq and is a predicted model, not a curated record.
UGCACCUGUGGCAGAGAAGCAGAGGUCAGCCUCCCAUGGCUGGACCACAACACCCGAUCCACAAGGGAAGUGCCAAGGCCCAGCAAGACCAGCAGGCCCGAGACUCCCAGCUGGAAUACCUUUGGGGAACAGAGGUCCCCACACCCCGGGGAACGCCAACUCCGACAUCAGUUCCCUGGGAUGGAGGCCAGGGCCAGCCACACAGCUGAUAGCCAGCCAGGCUCGGCCUCCUCAGCUCCCUUCCCUGGCUGCUUCCUUCCUCCCUCUGCCGGGUCUCUGCCCCUCUCCCUGCAAGCCUCUGACUCCUCCCUUGCUCUCUGUCCCCCUUUCUGUAUCUCUCUUGUCACGGUCUGGGGCAGUCUCUGUCGGCCUCCUUCCCACCUCUGUGGUGUUCCCUGCUUUCAUGUCCCGCCCUCUCCCUCGGCCUGGGCCCCUGCCGCCCUCCUCAUGAGGGCUCAUCUUUGCUCCUUCUCCAUCGAAGGGUCUUUGUCCCGGGCACCCAAAGCACGACCUCAAAUUCCUUCCCAGAGCUGUGUGUGCCUCCAUGAGCAUGGGUGGGAGGAACUCUGUCCAUUCCAGUCCCACACGAAGAGACAGGGACACAGUCACCCCCACACAGGCCUUUGCCCCUCCCUCCCGUCCUCAGCUGGAGAAGGCUUGAUCAAAUCCUUCGAAAGUAAGGACGACCUGCUGCCGGGAGUCACUUACUCGCAGGUGUCACGGUGGGCACGCCCCCCCACAAAUAAACACAAAGCAAAGGCAGCAGGCAUCCACGCCGCCCUCCGAGCUGGCAGAACCCAGGCUGACGUGCCCACUUCCCAGAGUCACAACAAGGUAUGAAAUGCUAACCGACCAACAUGGCCAGGAACUCAAAAGACGACAACUUGGGCCUCACUCAGAGGGGGAAAGCCAGGAGGGGAGAGGGAGGAAUGAAGGGAGGAGAGACGGAAAUGGGGAACCGCAGAGAAAACCAAGAGGCCAAGAGGAGAAGGGACCACAGGGCAGGCGCAUGAGCAGAGCGGCAGGCUGCUUCCUGUGGCCAGUCCCUGGCCCCAGCACGGCACCCUGGCCUGGCACUGGCCCUCCCACAGCUGCUCUGUCUCUCCACCCUUUUGUCCUCAAGUCUGUUUGGACACAGAGUCCCUUCCCAGGAGGGCUCUGAGACUGUUCUCACACAGUGAGUGACUUGGGGUGGUAUAUCCCAGAUGACUCGGGCUCCAGCUCCUUAAAAGCUCCUACCUACAGCGAGGCCCUAAGCAACUUGGCAAGACCCUGUCUCCAAAAAAAAAGGACAGUUGAUGUCAUGGCCAUCUAAGGCCUUGCUCACACACAGGUGCUGGGACGAAGUCUACCUGUCCCCAGAAGCCUAGCUUUGCUGAGGGUCGGAUGUGUGGCCGUUUAUGGAGGCCUUGGCCACCAUGCCCAGGAAUAAAACCUGGCUCAGAACCUGGCUCGGAUUCCUCCUGGGCCUGCCAACUCCUGGAGCAGCAGCCCUGGACAGGACCCCAAGCCGCCUGAGGGCUCAACCCACCCCUCCAUCAAGGCCUUCGCAGCAGGGAGAAGCCAUCAGCCAGUGGCAAAGCAUCGCUGGUUAGCUAGGUCCUGGGGAGAAGUGCCACCACAGACGGUCUAUGCUGGCCACGGCUGUACACAUCAGGCAAACAUCCUCCGUCAACUGCACCCGUCCCCUGGUGGCCAGGGAGCCCCUGGCAGAGCCUCAGAGGGCUCUGAAAGACCCUCGUGUGACUGCUAUCCCCAACAGCAUGCCUCCUUGCAGAGAGGCUGGGUGUGGCUCAGCCGCGGAGCGUGUGCCUAGAGCAAGUGAGACCCGCCUCCACCCCCAGCUCACCUCUUGCCGCGGGUCUUCCGCAAACCUCUGAAUCACAUACUUCAGCUCCCUGGAAGAGAUGGGCAGGCAGGUCACUCCUGGCCUGGGUAGACAGGGGGGUGGAGGCAUGGGGCAGGGAGGGGUCAGGUCACAGAGGGAACGUCUGACAGGGCAAGGCGUGUUGCUAGGACAGGCUGGACAGCUGCAGGAGCACGUCCAGGAGGAUACACUGCUGCCUCCCAGAAUGCACGUGGCUCAGAAAAUGGGCUAAGAGGCUGGCCAUGGAGGGUGACCUCAGAACAGAGGACGUGCCACCCAGGAGCAGGGAGGAGGGUGGAGGGUGCUGCCACCGGAGUACUCACUUGGUGAACUUCUCGUGCGCAAGUGCUCUGUGCAGAAAACAAGGGAAACACGCAGUCAGCACGGGCUUCCUAGCCACUCCAGAGCGGCCCUAGGACUGUCUGACUUUGUGUUCGACUCGAAGAAUGAAGAGGGGGUUAAAAUGAAAGACUGACAUUUUGUCCCCACUCAGAGCUCCAAACAAAGGCCUCCUUUGAGGAGUGACAAGUCCUAGCAAGGUGACAGGCUAAGCCCAUGCCCUCCUGCCACCAGCAGGGGCGCUAACCGGGUGCUGAGCUUGUGCAGUUGCACGUGGGCUCUGGAGACCCAGGUGUCGUUAAUCGUUCCACUGUCAAGGCCUGGCUGCACUAAUUACCGCUGCACAUCGGCAGGCAGCCGGGGACCAUUUUUCAAGCGAACUGCAUCAUGGGCCACUGUCAAGUGUGUGCCUGGGCCUGUGGGGACACUGGCUGUAACCAAUGACGCCACAGCCCUUCCGAGACCCAAAGCAGCUCUCAGGAGUUGGAUUUCUCCGGUCUCCAGACCUCGGCCCGUGGGAACAGGACGGGCCAGCAAAUGGGGCAAUUACCGGUGUAAUGCCUCCCUUAGAGGAACUGCAUUUCAUAAACAGGGGCUCCUUAAUGGGCUCCGGAGAGAGCCCAGGCCGGCCCCCGAGGCCAGGCCUCUUCACACGGAUCAAAACAGACCUGGAGGCAUGUGGAGACCUGGGCCCGAGGCAGAGCUCUUGGCUCCCCUAGGCCAUCACCACAGAUGGCACUAUUUUCCUGUGAUGCUUCUGAUACUGGGAUCAGGGCUGGCAGAGACAGAGGGUCCAUUUCAGCCCAAAUUCACGGUGGAGCCUGAGCUAAUCACCAUAACAGGGUGGUGAGAGCUUCCUGCACUUUACCAUGCUGCUGCCUGCAGACAGUUCCAAGUGCAUUUUCUUUGGAUUUUCACCAUCCCCCUUGGAGACAGAGUGGCAGGUGUUAUUUCCCUUUUGACGCACACUAAAAAUUGCUAACUUGAUGCCGCAAGGCUUCAUGGGAAGGCUGCUGCCUCCUGAGCUCAGCCGAUCCUUGCCACAGAGCCCUAGGCCUCGGGAGUCUCCUCUAACUCCCUGUGGCGUCCACCCUGCUCUCCCCGUGACUGGCUGUGCCCCUGCCAUGACGUGCCCUGGGAGGUUUCCCUGCAGUGGGGGUUCAGGGCAGUGCACUUACUCUUUGGGGAAUGGAAUGGGUUGAAGCAAGCUGGCCAGAGACGGUCUCCAGUCAUCAUAGUCGGACCUGGAAUGAGAAAACGUGGUGAGGACAGUGGUCAGGGCGAGGCUGUUGAUGUGCCGCCCUGGGUGGGCAGCAGGAUGAGAUGCUAGUCUGGUGAGUUUGCCCACUUCAAGGUCCAAGAGUGGUGGAGGGCACAAGCACCUCAUGUCCACAGUGCAGCAUGAGGUCACCAGCAGACCCAGGCCAGCUUCCAGACGGCAAAUGCAGGGUUACUGCCUACUACCCAGGAUCUCAGACCUGCCCCACCCCUGAACAAAGCCUUCGCUGUCAUUAUCCAUGCCUUCUCUUGAACCACCAGGAGUUGUUAGGGGCCAAAUUGUGUCCCCCUGACCCAAAUUCAUGCUGGCGUUCCAGCCCCUAGGACCUCAAAGUAUGACUGUAUUUGGGAAUCAGCCCUUUAAAGUCGUGUCAAACGCAGCCCUCAGGGCAGGCUCCUCCAACCCACUCACAUCCACACAAGAAGGGGAAGCCCAGACACCAGGACACAUUAGGUGUGUGCAUGCCACGAGAAGGUGACCCCCUGGAGUGCUGAUAUAAGAGGCCUCAGGAAAUACCCCCCACCGAUGCCCUCAUUCCAGUCUCCUUCUCGGAGUGGAGAGAACACACGCUUCUGCUGGUCAAGCUGCGCGGUACUCAGUGUCCUGUGCUGGCCAUCAAGCACGCUGACACGGCCAUGCUACCCUCGACCAGAAAUGAAGGGGCAGCUGUAGGUGCCACGCUGUCUGAGGGCAGUCCAGGUACCUCCUGUUGUACUGGAUGCUUCGAUUCCUGCUUCCAGACAACUGCUUUCUUUCUGCAGCUGAGGCGACACUGAGAAUGCUGCGAUUCCGUCACCUGCAGUGCUACACUAGAGCGCGCUGAGCGAGCACUUCGCCCGCACCAGCCCAUGGAGUCUGCUAGGCAGCCCCGGCAGAGCCCCAACUGUCCCUGACGAGCUGUCAGGCGCCUGGCAAGUAACUGCAGAGCUGCUCCACGUGGGCACAGGAGGGAAGCAAUGCCUGGGAGCCCCCGGGUGGGCAGGGCUGCUCCCGUCCCACCAGGUCAGCUUCUAAAAGAAGGAAGUGUACUGCCCACUCCUGCCCCAAGAAGCCAGAGCAAGAGGGUCUGGGAUGGGGGGGCGAGCCAGAGUCUCAGUCUGAAAAGAAACGGCCUGCACACUGCGGCAGAGCUUCCUGAGGACCCCGUUCUACAGAUGAGGGAAACCAAGGUUCAGAGAUGCCUUGUACCUGCUACAGGUCGGAGCUGGUAGUUGAGGUAUGGCCUGAGGUGCUCUAAGGCACAAUCCACCUUGUCUCCCUCCCCAAGCCUACACUGACUAUUUGUAACACUGACUAUAAUUUGGUUACAAACUGAGUUGCUGAUUUCUCUGGCUUUGGGGACUUAACUGAAAGUAAACCCAGAGGUAGGUGGCUCUUGCCGAAUGUCCUAAGCCAAGCCUGGCACUGCAAGGUCCAGGGCCGAGGCCCUCACGCAGGGAGAGAGGGCACUGUCAGGGCAGUCCCCCAGGCAGAAGGGUCCCUGCCUACUCCCCAGGAUCUCAGACCGCCCUCCGGCCCAGGCAGCGGUUGGGGCUCACCUAUGUAGCCCCUAUGGUGGGUGCUGGCCCGGGACAUGGCUGGUGCUUGGGAGAGGUGACACAGCCUGGGGACUGUGGUUCACUUAGAGCAGAAGGGGACAUUGAUCAGUCUCCAUUCUGUGGAGCUGUGAGAGGAUGGCAGAGAGCCUGUCUUGGGCCAGGGGCAAAGGGCUGGCACAUGGGGGGCAGAGGGAUGACCAGGGGCCCCAAGCCUGAUUCUUGUUCUUGGGACCUGUGACUCCUUUACACUGGGAACACAGUGUUUCUCAGCCUCCCUAUCCUGACCUCCACCAGGAGCGGUUUUCCUAAUCGCCUCCUCCCCACAUACAUUUUAACACACUCUGUCUGUUGUCUGUGUGCUGUACACCUACAGGGCCUUAGAAACAGCAAACCUGUCUCCACCACGUAGGACAAACACUAGCUUCUGUGGAUCAUGCCUGGUUUAGAGACCCCCUGGAUGAGGGCUCUUCCUGCCCGGCCUUCCUCCAAACAAACCCAUGAUAUAGUGGCAGCCUUUGGAACCUGGACCGAUCCCUUGAAGAUUCCUGAGGAAAGGCCCAGAUGUCGGACGCCUGGGAGAGAACUGCCAGGAGCCCGGUGGCCCAAGGAGCCGCCUGAUGCCCCCCUCGUCUCCUCCAGCCCAUCCUGCAGCCAGCAGCAGCGUGACCUGAGCCUCUGGCAGUGAAAUCCCACGAGGGCCUCCUUCACUUCCAACGCACACUGACUCUCCAGCCUUCUCAGAAUAAAUCCUGCCAGUGA